GCUCUAGUGGCGCAAUUGGUUAGUGCGUGGUACUUAUAAUGCCAAGACUGUGAGUUUGAACCUCACCUAGAGCA
Pristis pectinata (smalltooth sawfish) is the source of this 74-nucleotide non-coding RNA. Lineage: Eukaryota; Metazoa; Chordata; Chondrichthyes; Rhinopristiformes; Pristidae. The record is from the annotation of a RefSeq genome assembly.